RNAcentral lists this transfer RNA (72 nucleotides) under Bos taurus (domestic cattle). It matches the Rfam family "tRNA". From Rfam's summary of the family: Transfer RNA (tRNA) molecules are approximately 80 nucleotides in length. The record is from Rfam by way of RNAcentral. Lineage: Eukaryota; Metazoa; Chordata; Mammalia; Artiodactyla; Bovidae. RNAcentral also lists the same sequence under 4 other names.
UCCCUGGUGGCUCAGAUGGUAAAGCAUCUGCCUGCAAUGCAAGAGACCUGGGUUCAAUCCCUAGGUUGGGAA